This 443-nucleotide ribosomal RNA is filed under the name uncultured bacterium. RNAcentral describes it as "partial 16S ribosomal RNA". It matches the Rfam family "Bacterial small subunit ribosomal RNA", at positions 338 to 795 of the family's 1533-position model. The record is from RNAcentral.
CCUACGGGUGGCUGCAGUGGGGAAUAUUGGGCAAUGGGCGCAAGCCUGACCCAGCAACGCCGCGUGAAGGAAGACGGCUUUCGGGGUGUAAACUUCUUUUGUCAGGGACGCAGCAAGUGACGGUACCUGACGCAUAAGCCACGGCUAAAUACGUGCCAGCGGCCGCGGUAAUACGUAGGUCGCAAGCGUUAUCCGGAUGUACGGGGGGUAAAGGGCGUGUGGGGGGGGAAGGCAGUCCGACGGGAAAACCACGGGCUCAACCUGUGGCCUGCCUUUGAAACUGUUUUUCUUGAGUGCUGGAGAGGCAAGCGGAAUUCCGUGUGUAGCGGUGAAAUGCGUAGAUAUACGGAGGAACACCAGUGGCGAAGGCGGAGUGCUGGACAGUAACUGACGCUGAGGCGCGAAAGCGUGGGGAGCAAACAGGAUUAGAUACCCGAGUAGUC